UCCCCUGUGGUCCAAUGGUGAAGACUCCACACCACCACUGCAGGGGGCCCAGGUUCAAUCCCUGGUUGGGGAA
RNAcentral lists this transfer RNA (73 nucleotides) under Bos taurus (domestic cattle). It matches the Rfam family "tRNA". Rfam says of the family: Transfer RNA (tRNA) molecules are approximately 80 nucleotides in length. The record is from Rfam by way of RNAcentral. RNAcentral also lists the same sequence under 2 other names. Lineage: Eukaryota; Metazoa; Chordata; Mammalia; Artiodactyla; Bovidae.